This 659-nucleotide ribosomal RNA is filed under the name Lactococcus lactis subsp. lactis. RNAcentral's name for it is "bacterial SSU rRNA". It matches the Rfam family "Bacterial small subunit ribosomal RNA", at positions 62 to 704 of the family's 1533-position model. The record is from RNAcentral. Lineage: Bacteria; Bacillati; Bacillota; Bacilli; Lactobacillales; Streptococcaceae.
UUGAGCGCUGAAGGUUGGUACUUGUACCGACUGGAUGAGCAGCGAACGGGUGAGUAACGCGUGGGGAAUCUGCCUUUGAGCGGGGGACAACAUUUGGAAACGAAUGCUAAUACCGCAUAAAAACUUUAAACACAAGUUUUAAGUUUGAAAGAUGCAAUUGCAUCACUCAAAGAUGAUCCCGCGUUGUAUUAGCUAGUUGGUGAGGUAAAGGCUCACCAAGGCGAUGAUACAUAGCCGACCUGAGAGGGUGAUCGGCCACAUUGGGACUGAGACACGGCCCAAACUCCUACGGGAGGCAGCAGUAGGGAAUCUUCGGCAAUGGACGAAAGUCUGACCGAGCAACGCCGCGUGAGUGAAGAAGGUUUUCGGAUCGUAAAACUCUGUUGGUAGAGAAGAACGUUGGUGAGAGUGGAAAGCUCAUCAAGUGACGGUAACUACCCAGAAAGGGACGGCUAACUACGUGCCAGCAGCCGCGGUAAUACGUAGGUCCCGAGCGUUGUCCGGAUUUAUUGGGCGUAAAGCGAGCGCAGGUGGUUUAUUAAGUCUGGUGUAAAAGGCAGUGGCUCAACCAUUGUAUGCAUUGGAAACUGGUAGACUUGAGUGCAGGAGAGGAGAGUGGAAUUCCAUGUGUAGCGGUGAAAUGCGUAGAUAUAUGGAGG